UUUCCGUAGGUGAACCUGCGGAAGGAUCAUUAUUGGAUUUUGAAACUUCAGGCUGCUGCUGGCUCUCCUCGGAGGGCAUGUGCACGCUUGUUGUCCAUUAUUUCUCCCACUGUGCACAAAUUGUAGACCUUUCAGUAGGCCUAUGUUGUUUUUCACAGUCUCUGAAUGUAAUAGAAUGGUUUUGAAUCUUGGGAAAUACAAUACAACUUUCAGCAACGGAUCUCUUGGCUCUC
Molecule: unclassified non-coding RNA, 233 nt
Filed under: plant metagenome
Description: partial contains small subunit ribosomal RNA, internal transcribed spacer 1, and 5.8S ribosomal RNA
Source: RNAcentral